Molecule: unclassified non-coding RNA, 285 nt
Filed under: uncultured fungus
Lineage: Eukaryota; Fungi
Description: partial contains 5.8S ribosomal RNA, internal transcribed spacer 2, and large subunit ribosomal RNA
Source: RNAcentral
AACGCACAUUGCGCCCUUUGGCAUUCCGAAGGGCAUGCCUGUUCGAGCGUCAUUAUCACCCCUCAAGCCCCUGGGCUUGGUGUUGGACGGUCUCGGUGAGACCUGCAGUGUCUCACCCCUCCUAAAGACAAUGACGGCGGCUUCGUUGGACCCCCGGUACACUGAGCUUCUUUACUGAGCACGUACUGGAUGCGGGUGCGCGGGGCACGGUCUGCCUCCCCUUAGGGAGAACUUUUUCGUAACAAGGUUGACCUCGGAUCAGGUAGGAAUACCCGCUGAACUUAA